Molecule: non-coding RNA, 97 nt
Filed under: Staphylococcus sp. 8AQ
Lineage: Bacteria; Bacillati; Bacillota; Bacilli; Caryophanales; Staphylococcaceae
Description: Glycine
Rfam family: Glycine riboswitch aptamer
About the family: This family represents the bacterial glycine riboswitch.
Source: RNAcentral
UUGAUCAGUAUUAGAGAGAAUAAAAGAUAGCUUUUAUCGCCGAAGGUGCAAGUAGCAAUACUACGAAACUCUCAGGCAAAAGGAUAAUACUGUUACG